UACAAAUUAUAUUAAAUAAAAUGUAAAAAAAGGUUGUUUAAUGUCAGUUGCCACUGGAGAGCUGACAAUACCAACGUGUAGUCACAUCAUUUCAGUAGAAGUUAAUUAAAAUUUAUGAAAAAGCCACUCAAUUACCCAACUGUAACAUUAUAUGCAAGUAUAAAGUUAUUUCUACCCUUGAGUAAGAAAAUGUAUGAGUCCCUAUAUCAUAUGACAUAUUCGUAUUCCUAGUUCUGGCUCCGGGUCAUUUAAUAAGUAAAAACAGCUACUUUUCAUUCAUAUAAACGUAGGUGGAACCUUCAUGUGUUGAUCUGACCAUUUUGCAUUUGAAAUACACAAACAUCUGAUGACAUCUGAGGGGUGUGGUGGAUGCAGAGGAGACAGGGCGAUGUAAUAUCGAGACACUCCACACUGUGCUCUAAUCAAACCACCUACUAGUACUUUCAUACGGUGGUUUCUGAUGUAAAUGAACUGCCCAUCUGGAGUUGAUGGGUCUUCAAUUGAAAACAGAUACUGAGGUUGUAGAGUAACUUUAAAGUGGUUGAAACUGGCCAUUUGCCUCUCCAUUUGUUUUGUCAGGAUUUACCUCAAAUAACUUGAUACAAACAAACACAUUAAAUUACUUUGUCACCCCAGAACCUUUGUUAUCUGCAGAUAGCGGACAGAUAUCGAUACACUGUACGUACAUGAUGAGAAGAGUGAGAGUUUGGGUGAAAAGGGGAUUUGAUAGGGCAUGAAUGGAGAGAGCGCUUUUCUCAAUGAGUCCAAUGUUUCGCUCAGCAUGUGCUUGCCUUGCAUGCCACCCCCUUCCCUCCCCAUUUCUCACUCUAUUCACUUCCUUCCUCUCUAUCUUCCACAACUACUUCAGCCCCAUCCCCCAUACCCUCACACAUCUCUGCCAUAUACCCAGCCCCUCAGUAUGUGGAUGGAGACAGGGAAAUAGGUCCACUCUGUGUGUGUGUGUGUGUGUGUGUAUUGGUGUGAGGAAUGUUGUCCUUCUCAACCACUGGCACCACCUGGAGACCGAUGAGGGGACUGGAUAAUGUGACUGAUCGGAGAUAAUAAAAAACAAAUGUUAGCGUUUCACAUUUAGAUAUGAAGCAAAAAAGUAGGUUACAAAUGUUGCAAAAUCAGUGCAGACACUGGAAACUGAUAACAGAGCAGAACACUGUCAUAUAUCAAGAGAAUAUAAUUUCAGAGCAUAAUUUUGUAAUGUAGUGCUCUCUUAGAGCAGUUUAUCAUUUUUAUGCUUGUUUUGUUUCUUUUGCUUAAUGUUGAUGAUCCCCAACCAGCAAAUAACUGACUAUCUUCACUGCACAGAUAAAGGUCAUGUCAGCAAUUUCAAUACAAGCCACUUUUGUUCUGUCGCUUUCAAGGACUUAUUUUGAUUAGUCGUCUUAUCGGAAAUUUAAAAUAAAGUCAACAUUUUCAUGAAAUUCCAUUCUCCGUCAAUACUCCAACUAUUCUUGGCUUUAGGAUUUUGAGGAAUGAGAUUUAUUCUGAAAUCUUUCAUAUCAGGAUCAUGAAAAAACGUUUACAUCAGUUAGUACAUUUGAACUGAAGUCAUGCUAAAUCAAGAACACCGUCCCUUAUCACAGACUAAUGAAUAAAUGUUUUCUGUACCGGAGUGACCAGAUCUUGACCUACGGCUCAAGAAAACCACAGAACAAACGGAAUGCUAUUUGACUGCCAGCAGUUCGGUCAGAGAUUCGAGUGUGCCAUGCUAGUAGCUGCUAAUGUAGUCUCAAGCUGCUGGCCUUAAGCAGGGAUGAGGAGUGGGCUACAGAAGUCAGGCUGCUGAUUAAUGUUUUACCAGGAUCCUUGCUCAGUUUUGGGAUGAUGCACAGACCAGACAUGAACAUUUAGUGUUUUUUUUAUAUAGACAGACACCGUGGGUCGCCUUCUAUGGAGUCCGCCAUGUUGAACCGCCUUGUUUCUACAGUAGCCCAGAACGGACAAACCAAACAAUGGGUUGCUGCAUAGGCGUGCACCAACACUCACAGUAAGGGCAGAAGAACAAUAGCCUGCAGAAAAGUAAUAUGACAGGAACAUGAGCAAAAAUGUUGAAGAAAUAGGUUUAGUGUAAUUAUCUAUAAUUUUCAUGUUUGUGUCAUUUUUCAUUAUUGUUUUUUCAUUAAAAUUAUUUUAAUUAGUAGUUUUCACAAAUGUCCUGCUGCUGUCUACAGUGGUGCAAUCUGCAACAGGGGUAGCCAGGCGUCUCCUUGUUAGGGACUCCAUUGUGUGGGACUGCACUGCAUUUUUUUCCUUUGUCGUAAGUCCUACAUUUUGAGACAAAAUGUUCCACAUUUCAAACUGCUCUAGUUUACAAAAGUCAAACCACUGCAUGGCAGAUGCUUUUCUAAAAACCUAGUUUUUAUGCAGUGGCUGCGAGGAAAGCAGGGGCUGUGUUUAAUGUCAAUCAAACUGCGCACACAUGGGUCAAAUGCAGGUUAAACUUUCACAGACUUUCCUGCACUAUGCCCAACGGGGACAAUUGCCAGUCACCACAAAGUAACAAGCUAUGCAGAUUUAGGUGGAAUAUGAUGCGAAGUACCACAAAGAAAAGGAAACGCAGCCACAACAAAUACUGGGAAACUAUAACUGGGUGAAGCCGGUGGAAGGUGAUUAUCGCAGACUAUUGUUCAAUACCAUAUGAACUGUGAAACUUAAUACAGUAAGCAUAAAACAAAGCUUAACUUUGUGUGGGAGUUCAGAAAGUUGCAUUGAAGGCCUUCGCAUGCUGAAGGUCUAACCUGUAACCAAACCUGCACAGUCUAUUGUGUGCUGCUGAAUCAACCAAAGGGCAAAGUUUAGGGAGUUCCAAGCAAAGAGACAGAACAUAAAUGUUUAUUUUUUCAAAUUAGAUAGACAUUACAUCAACAUUUUAGAUUACCUCACCACACAUUGUCCCAUGUUUGUUGGGAUCUGGUCACCCUUACAGACAUGUAAAUAGAGUUAAUAUUUAAAUGAGUUAGUGGUUAACAUUUUAAUUAGUGCUCACAAACUUCUUUUCAUAAGGUUAUUUGACAGCAUAGCAAGAAAUACAAAAUGUUUAAUUCAUAAUAUAAUGUUGAAUGAAUGUCAUUCUUUCAGCUGUUGUAAUGAUUCAAUUCAUUGUACUGAUCUAGUUGAGUGGAACAUUUUAAGUCUUGACUAGGGCUGGACCUAACUAUUAUUAUUUCACUAUCAGUUCAUUGUUUUGUGAAUACAAUGUCACAGAAUUGUGAAAAAUACCCAUGACAAUCUCCCAGACCCCAAUGUGACACAUGCAGUGCUGGAUUUGUCUGACCAACAGUACAGAUGUCAAAGACAAUUCAUUUCCAGUGAUAUAAAACAGAAUAAAGCAGCUAAUACUCACAUUUAGAGAGCUGAAACCAGCUAAAUGUUUGCCAUUUUUUACUUGGCCAUUUGUUCAAACUGAAGUAUGUCUUGCUGCCAAAAACUCUGCAAUGGUAAAUUGUGUACAUUUGUCUUACACUGUGCAUUCAAGACAACAAACAGGGACCAUCUUCCCACUUACCUCACUUGUUAUGUCUUCUACAUGUGUUUUUUGUAUGCUGUGCUUUGUACUGGUUGUGUUUUAUUUUGCUGCAUUACUGUUUUACACAAUGCUGUGUGAUUGAUUGGUAGGCUCAAUCCCUGUAAAGUCCUUUGAGACACACUUGUGAUGAAUGGCAACAGAAAGAAACUUGACUUAACAUUCUUUAUUGCAAGCUGGGUGAGAGCAGUGAAUUACAAAUUAAAUGUCAUAUGCUUUGAUAAAUAAACUAUAUAUAACCCUGUGUUGAAUCAUAAACACUAGAGCUAAUAGUGACAUCUGAAACAAUACUGUUUCUAAUGUAUGUAACAAUCAUUCCAGUUUACAGUAAAAUGUAAUUAGUAUUUUAACUAAGGUGGAGAAGACAAUGUAGCACACAUUAAAGCAACUGUUUCAGGAACCAAGGCGCCUAUAGUCUGUGUGAAAACAACAACCUCACUGCAUAUCACACUGUGCCAGAUGGGUAAAGUCUCAGUCGCAAUCCAUCCAACUUUGAAUCAUGAGAUGAUCAUUUUUCUAUGUGAGUUUAAGGUAAAUAUGUUUGUGAUUUUUCUUACCAAUGUAUUCUGUGUCAUUUCAUGUCAUAUUCUGAUUGGUUAGUUUAUAAAUGUGGGUUGUAGCGACAGUCACAUUGUGGUCCUACAUCAGAAUUUUGAUGCAGCCUGCUUUUGGGCACUGGAGCUCUAAAUCAGCCAUCUGUGGGCUUUCACAGUGUGCUGACCAAUGUGUUUGAUUGAAGUGGCACCUGCAAAAAAAUCUUAUUUUUUAAUUUCAAUUCCUUUAAAUUAACAUUUUUUUUAGUAUUACUCUCAAAUAAUUUUUUUGUUUUAGAUUUAUACAUGUAUUGCUCUCACCAGUAGGUGGCAGAGUAAGCUGACUGUGGCACAUUACUGCAAGACACAUUGAAGACAAGCUGCAAUUUGCAGACCAUGGAAAUGUGUGUGUGUGUAUGUGUGUGUCCGGUGCUGCUGUACUGAUAGCUUUUAAGUUUUUCUGGUAAAAUAAUAACAUUCUUCUUUACCACUAAUACCAUCGCAGUGUGAAUAGUGUAAAAAAAAAAAAGAUUUCAUCACAUUCAUUGUCAACUUUCAUCUGGAACAGCCCAGUGUAAAGGGACCUUAAGCAUUGUUUGCUGCCAAAGAUUGGAGGUAUAUCUCUAAUGCCACACUUGAUAGAAAUCAGUUGUGAUGGUGAGACUAUGCAUUAUUUGCAAUGGCUGAAUGGCUUUUGCAGCUUGCAGCUUGUUACUCUGCUGGAUUUUGUCAAUACGUAUGCACAAAAGAGGGAUUAUAAUUAAAGAAAAUGUCAGCUGCUCGUGCUGAAACAAUACACAUUAAAAAGGUAGUAUACAAACACACACAUCACCACUAAUGAAAGCCCACAGCCAUGAGACGGGAGAGGUUACUGUAGUGUUAAACAAUGCUUAAUGCUGUGAAGGCCACCUCCAGUUACAUUUACAUCUGUGGAGAGCUGCAGUGUUGCCAGGCAGGACAGUGGGCCAGACAGAUCUAUGGCCCAAUGCCCAGAACUCUGCUGCUCGGUCCCGAGGCUCAAACUGCCUGUCCCAACGUGGCUCCUAAUGUAACCUCUACCACCACUUCCCAAAGUAUGGACAACUUGUGUGUGUGUGAUAGGUAGAUAGGUAGAUAGAUAGAUAGAUAGAUAGAUAGAUAGAUAGAUAGAUAGAUAGAUAGAUAGAUAGAUAGAUAGAUAGAUAGAUAGAUAGAUAGAUAGAUAGAUAGAUAGAUAGAUAGAUAGAUAGAUAGAUAGAUAGAUAGAAAAAAUGAUACACUGUAACUCCACCAGCCAACUUUUCUAUCAUUACUGUGGCAUCUCAUUAAUUUCUUGUUGAUGUUUGGGUUACGUAACAUGUAGCACAUUUCUGAUCCAUCUGUGAGUACAGUAAGGUGCAAUCACAGAUGGAUAACUUCAUCUGCUCUUAGCACAGUGUUGCCUAACUGCCAGCUUUGUUUACAGAGUGAUUUAUUGGAUUUAUAGUCCUUUUUUCUGUCUUAAACGUGUCACUUUCACCCUGUCUAUGCAAGGACGGUGUGAACACAAGACUAAAAAUAGAAGAGGCAUGUACAUCUGUAUAUUGAUGUAGGAUGUGUUAAAGCAAGUUAACAUUUCUCAUCUACUUUAGCAGCAUGAGACAUGUACUGAAAAUGUUUAUGGUCAAGCAAACAGCUCUUUUUUAUUAUUACUUAAACUAUAUAUAUAUAUUUAUUUAGGACAACUGGAUCAUAAUCCGUCUGCAAUGGUGUGGUUUGGCUCACAGUCACAUGCAUAAUGAAAGCCCAAAUUUACAACUGAACAUUAAAAUAUGAUGAGUGGCUCAGUUGGAUUUAUUAAUCAUGAAGAACACAUUGUGAGACCUGUUCAAGGUUUUUUUUUUUAUGUAUUUGUAAACAUCUAAAUCUUUGACCGGUGCUUUGAAUAUAUAUUUUAUAGAAGAACUUAACAAACGCACCAUGAAAUGCUUGUCAUAUCUGCAGAAUCUGUGAAUAUUGUUGAAAAUACUCUGUCCAAGACAUAUGUGUUGUGGUGUGCUGAGUUGCAGCUCUCCCGAUGCUUUCAUUAGGAGCCCUGUUAGCCCGGUCCCCUCAGCCGGCACUGCAUCACCACCCUAACAGGAGAUAGAUAACCAUAAAUAUGAGCAGGGUUGCCGAAUACCAACAAAUAACAGCAUCUCAUCUGGUCUGUAAGAGUUUUCUAGCCACUGUGAGCAACAUUACACCCCACCCAGUAAUUACCUGUUUUUAUUCCAAAGACAUACCAGAGCACAAUUCAUUUUGAGUUAUUUGUUAUUUGGCUUUUAAACAAGGGUGUGACUCUGCAUUUACUGAGACUGAAUCACUCUCCGGAUUCUGAGUCUAUCACAGCAGUACUGGAGGAGAGCUAAUCAAAUCCUGCUGCCCACCCAAUCUGGAUGGAUCACAGUUUAGGGGGGAGAACAGAAUAAUUCAUGCACCCCAAAGCUCAUGUAACAGACCAAGGUGAAAAUAAGUAGGCUUUUAAUACAACCCUGAUUAUUUAUUAAUCCUGUCUUGGCCCUCAUGAAUUCAAUAAUUAAGACUGCGGACCAUUAGGGUCAGUUUUACAUUUUGUGUUUUGAAAUGUAUAAAAACUUUGCUCUAAUAAACACUA
Molecule: long non-coding RNA, 6685 nt
Organism: Dicentrarchus labrax (European seabass)
Lineage: Eukaryota; Metazoa; Chordata; Actinopteri; Moronidae
Exons: 4
Source: RefSeq, a predicted model, not a curated record